This 483-nucleotide ribosomal RNA is filed under the name uncultured bacterium. RNAcentral describes it as "partial 16S ribosomal RNA". It matches the Rfam family "Bacterial small subunit ribosomal RNA", at positions 355 to 829 of the family's 1533-position model. The record is from RNAcentral.
UGGGGAAUUUUGGACAAUGGGCGAAAGCCUGAUCCAGCAAUGCCGCGUGUGUGAAGAAGGCCUUCGGGCUGUAAAGCACUUUUGUCCGGAAAGAAAUCCUUGGCUCUAAUACAGUCGGGGGAUGACGGUACCGGAAGAAUAAGCACCGGCUAACUACGUGCCAGCAGCCGCGGUAAUACGUAGGGUGCAAGCGUUAAUCGGAAUUACUGGGCGUAAAGCGUGCGCAGGCGGUUUGCUAAGACCGAUGUGAAAUCCCCGGGCUCAACCUGGGAACUGCAUUGGUGACUGGCAGGCUAGAGUAUGGCAGAGGGGGUAGGAUUCCACGUGUAGCAGUGAAAUGCGUAGAGAUGUGGAGGAAUACCGAUGGCGAAGGCAGCCCCCUGGGCCAAAUACUGACGCUCAUGCACGAAAGCGUGGGGAGCAGACAGGAUUAGAUACCCUGGUAGUCCACGCCCUAAAACGAUGUCAACUAGUUGUUGGGGA